UCAUGUCGUUCCAAACCUGCAUGACUUUCUUUCUUCUGUGCAACACAACAGGAGAUGUUGAGCAGAAUAGAUGAAAAACGUUUGAGU
Molecule: long non-coding RNA, 87 nt
Organism: Sinocyclocheilus anshuiensis
Lineage: Eukaryota; Metazoa; Chordata; Actinopteri; Cypriniformes; Cyprinidae
Exons: 3
Source: RefSeq, a predicted model, not a curated record